AGAGGGGUGCGAGCGGUUAAUCGGGAAUUACUGGGCGUAAAGACGUGCGUAGGUGGGAUAAUUAAGGUUGGAUGUGAAAUCCCCGGGGCUCAACCUGGGCAGGUCAUCCAAAACUGGUUAUCUAGAGUACAGUAGAGGGAAGUGGAAUUUCCGGUGUAGCGGUGAAAUGCGUAGAUAUCGGAAGGAACAUCAGUGGCGAAGGCGACUUCCUGGACUGAUACUGACACUGAGGCACGAAAGCGUGGGGAGCAAACAGGAUUAGAUACCCUGGUAGUCCACGCCGUAAACGAUGAGAACUAGCUGUUGGUGAUAUUAAAAUCAUUAGUGGCGCAGCUAACGCGUUAAGUUCUCCGCCUGGGGAGUACGGCCGCAAGGUUA
This 378-nucleotide ribosomal RNA is filed under the name uncultured organism. RNAcentral describes it as "partial 16S ribosomal RNA". It matches the Rfam family "Bacterial small subunit ribosomal RNA", at positions 526 to 896 of the family's 1533-position model. The record is from RNAcentral.